Molecule: ribosomal RNA, 466 nt
Filed under: uncultured bacterium
Lineage: Bacteria
Description: partial 16S ribosomal RNA
Rfam family: Bacterial small subunit ribosomal RNA
Source: RNAcentral
GAUGAACGCUGACAGAAUGCUUAACACAUGCAAGUCAACUUGAAUUUGGGUUUUUAACUUAGGUUUGGGUGGCGGACGGGUGAGUAACGCGUAAAGAACUUGCCUCACAGCUAGGGACAACAUUUGGAAACGAAUGCUAAUACCUAAUAUUAUGAUAAUAGGGCAUCCUAUAAUUAUGAAAGCUAUAAGCGCUGUGAGAGAGCUUUGCGUCCCAUUAGCUAGUUGGAGAGGUAACGGCUCACCAAGGCGAUGAUGGGUAGCCGGCCUGAGAGGGUGAUCGGCCACAGGGGGACGAGGACACGGCCUUUCCCCCUACGGGGGGCAGCAGUGGGGAAUAUUGGACAAUGAACCGGGAGUCUGAUCCAGCAAUUCUGGGUGCAAGAAGAAGUUUUUCGGAAUGUAAAGUGCUUUCAGUUGGGAAGAAACAAAUGGCGGUACCAACAGAAGAAGUGGCGGCUAAAUCCGU